Molecule: transfer RNA, 73 nt
Filed under: Palpitomonas bilix
Lineage: Eukaryota
Description: tRNA-Glu
Rfam family: tRNA
About the family: Transfer RNA (tRNA) molecules are approximately 80 nucleotides in length. Their secondary structure includes four short double-helical elements and three loops (D, anti-codon, and T loops). Further hydrogen bonds mediate the characteristic L-shaped molecular structure. tRNAs have two regions of fundamental functional importance: the anti-codon, which is responsible for specific mRNA codon recognition, and the 3' end, to which the tRNAs corresponding amino acid is attached (by aminoacyl-tRNA synthetases). tRNAs cope with the degeneracy of the genetic code in two manners: having more than one tRNA (with a specific anti-codon) for a particular amino acid; and 'wobble' base-pairing, i.e. permitting non-standard base-pairing at the 3rd anti-codon position.
Source: RNAcentral
GUCCCUUUCGUCUAGUGGCCUAGGACCGCGCUUUUUCAUGGCGUUAACACGGGUUCAAAUCCCGUAAGGGGCA